ACUUAAAUUGAAGAGUUUGAUCAUGGCUCAGAUUGAACGCUGGCGGCAGGCCUAACACAUGCAAGUCGAGCGGUAGCACAGAGAGCUUGCUCUCGGGUGACGAGCGGCGGACGGGUGAGUAAUGUCUGGGAAACUGCCUGAUGGAGGGGGAUAACUACUGGAAACGGUAGCUAAUACCGCAUAACGUCGCAAGACCAAAGUGGGGGACCUUCGGGCCUCAUGCCAUCAGAUGUGCCCAGAUGGGAUUAGCUAGUAGGUGGGGUAACGGCUCACCUAGGCGACGAUCCCUAGCUGGUCUGAGAGGAUGACCAGCCACACUG
This 320-nucleotide ribosomal RNA is filed under the name Klebsiella pneumoniae. Its description in RNAcentral is "bacterial SSU rRNA". It matches the Rfam family "Bacterial small subunit ribosomal RNA", at positions 1 to 315 of the family's 1533-position model. The record is from RNAcentral. Lineage: Bacteria; Pseudomonadati; Pseudomonadota; Gammaproteobacteria; Enterobacterales; Enterobacteriaceae.